This is a long non-coding RNA of Bos grunniens (domestic yak), 1645 nucleotides long. NCBI's taxonomy places the organism in Eukaryota, Metazoa, Chordata, Mammalia, Artiodactyla, Bovidae. The record is from Ensembl.
AAAGCUCCUUUUCCACCUGCACAGAUGCCACAAGUCCCAGUUGAUGAAAUGACACUGAAGAGAACACAGGCAGCUUCCACUGCAGGAAAGUCAACUGGCACCUAUAACCUAGUGAUUGGAAGGGGUCAAGACAGAGAUGCCCAGAAGGAAAACCUCUGAAUAGGGUCUGCUUUAUGAACUGUGGAGGGAGUCCUGUGAUAUCCUGCUAAGUAUUUUGCUGUUGACUUUCUGAGGAAAAAUGAAAGCAAAUUUUCUUGUACUUAAGUUUACAAUAAAUACUAAGGGUAUAAUAUUUUUGCUUACAUAGCACAAAAUUUAUAAAUAGUAACAGAAUAUACAAUGGAACACUUCCAUUGAUUUUGGCUAAACUCUUGUAUAGCCAACUCAUGCUUGCAACUGAUGAAUGAAUGUGGUUUUAAUAUGAAUACUGGUUGAUACUUUUGCCUUUGUUAAUGUAUUAAGACAAAAGUGAAACAAAAAAGACAUUUCUUACAACUUUGAUUUGUCAAAAACCAGGGCAAAUUUACUUGCUGAAUCUGAUAACAGCAUCACAAUAUGAUGACUACAGACAUAAUAAUUUUUUAUUUAAUCGAUAUUAUUUGCAUUUUCCAUUAUUUUCUUAACUAUCAACAGAAUAAAUCAAGCUUUGAUUUGUAGUAUUUGCUGAUUUCCAUGGUAUAAAUAUUCAUACCCUGACCAAAUUCAAACUAUAAAUAUGAUGUCACUGAUUAUGGAGUUGGGGAGAAAUGGAAAUCUCAAGAGAACAGAUAAUAAAUUAAUUAGGAAUCGGUGAGUUUUUUGUGUUUGUUACCUUUGCUUUAAAUAUUAUUUAAUUGUAAAAGUAUACAAUUUAAUUUUUAAUGAUAUCUGUGCUUAACCACUAGUUUGUAAAAUAGCUGAACAUUUAACAAUUGACUUUCAUGGGCCAGUGGAAGCCAGCUCAGCACUCCCCUGAGAGCGAUAACAUAUUCAUUUUACAGAUUUUUUUGUUUCACAGUUUAUAUCAAUUGUCCUUAAGCCUUCAGAAAAGUCUGACCAUCAUGAAAAAAAAUUGAGGGAUGUUUCUUUGACCAAGUUUAGGGUUAAGUGGUAAAGUGUGAGCUAACAUUUUUUGUUUUGAGACAUCACGAGGUGAUCCGCAGAAGAAAGUGAUAUUCUAGAGCCAGAAAGACUCUGUAAGGGGGUAAAGAUCAGAUUUACAGAUUGAGUCAUCAUCCCCGGGGAAUUCCCCAAGUAAUCUGUUAUUAGCUUAGUUUCUUUGCCAUUCAAAGCAUAUGAAGCUCAGGACUCUUCUAAUUAUCUGCAAUAUACAUAUAUAUAUAUAUGUAUAUACAUUAAUAUAUAAAUAAUUUUAAAUAGCAUUAUGGCAAUUUAAUUGAUAAUACAGUAAACUAUACAUGCCUUAAAUGUAUAGUUUGUUAAGCUUUGACAUAUGCUAUAUACCCGUUGGGUUUUCCAAGUGGCACUAGUGGUAAAGAACGUGCCUGCCAGUGCAGGAGAUAUGAGAGACAUGGGUUCCAUCCUUUAGGUCUGGAAGAUCCCCUGGAGGAUGGCAUGGCAGCCCACUCCAGUAUUCUUGCCUGGAGAACCCCACAGACAGAGGAGCCUGGUGGGCUGCAUAGGGUUGCAGAGUUGGACACAACUG